CAAUAGCGUAUAUUCAAGUUGUUGCAGUUAAAAAGCUCGUAGUUGAAUUUUUGCGCUGUGUGUGUGGUUUGGGCUCGCGCUCAACACUGCAGAUGCGGUGCUUUCCUUCUAGGGAGCCAGUGUGCCAUUCGGUUGGUGGGCUGGGGAACUAGGACAGUUACUUUGAGAAAAUUAGAGUGUUUAAAACAGGCGUUUGCUUGAAUAUAUUAGCAUGGAAUAACGGAAUAGGACUUUGUCUUAUUUUGUUGGUUUAGGAGACAAAGUAAUGAUUAAUAGGGACGGUUGGGGGCAUUAGUAUUCCACAGUCAGAGGUGAAAUUCUUGGAUUUGUGGAAGACUAACUUCUGCGAAAGCAUUUGCCAGGCACGCUUUCAUUAA
This 377-nucleotide ribosomal RNA is filed under the name uncultured eukaryote. Its description in RNAcentral is "partial 18S ribosomal RNA". It matches the Rfam family "Eukaryotic small subunit ribosomal RNA", at positions 592 to 976 of the family's 1831-position model. The record is from RNAcentral.